CGUAAACAGGAGAACUCACAAUAAGGCAAUUGAUAAUAUGAGGGAUGUUUGAUGCACGUGAGACGUCACUCGUUUGAUCCCAUUUUGGUCUUCUUUUUCAGUGCUGCAGUGUUCGAGCUCAAAUGCCACGACGACAGAACAACUGAUCCAUUCUGCAGAGUUCGGAGAUGAAGAGGAUCAGGCACAACAGUGCAUUAGAGGAGUCACCGAUUCUGUUUUACUGUUUGCUUCGAUUGCUCCGAAACUCCCAGGAUUACGUAAUUAUGAGCAACCAGGGAACCAUAUGAUGAUGGAUGAGGGGAAAAGACAGGUUUUUUUCGGGGGCUGAAACCUGAGUGGCCCUGUGGGUUUCCCCACUCGGUUGCUGUGGAGAACGUGUCGGUUGUAGCUGCCCUAACUCACACAGACUGAGGAAAGUAUCUACUAAAGACGUUGUCUCUGGCCUUUGGCCUUUAAAUACAGUGGACAUGCUCUGCA
Dicentrarchus labrax (European seabass) is the source of this 477-nucleotide long non-coding RNA. RefSeq lists it as uncharacterized. NCBI's taxonomy places the organism in Eukaryota, Metazoa, Chordata, Actinopteri, Moronidae. The transcript has 3 exons. The record is from RefSeq and is a predicted model, not a curated record.